CCCCCCCCCCCCCCCCCCCAGGCUAAAGAAGCGCCUGGGGGUUGGGAGAGAGGACUCUGCUCACCACCAUGCAGUCCCGGGGUUAAAGCUCUGACUGCCUCCCAGGACCGCCCCUCCCUGGGGAUCUUCUGGAAGGCUCUUAAAGCGGGAGAGAGGGCAGGAUGAGUAACUCCUGAAGACCAGAAGCUUCCAGCGAGACGCCUUCUCUUCCUGACUGAUGUUCACCCAAAAGACAAAGAGUGACUUGAGCCAUGCAUGGUGGUAUGCACCUCUUGAAUUCAAGAAACAGUAUUGGCCCGAGACACCCCAAGACCAAGUUCUCAGCACUAAGGAGAUUUACUUGUCCCAGACAGACAGAAGACAGGGAAUAAGAGACACAGACAGGAGAGAGAGGAAGAGGGGGAAGGAGCCCCUUCCAUCCCCCCCCUCCUGCUCUUUCCUUGGCUUUCGGCCUGGAAUGCAGGCCUACCAGGCAUCAGGCAGAGGCGUGCAUCUGGACUUACGUCUUGUUCCUUGUGUGUGACACUGAAACCGGCAUCCUCGUCCGAAAAUUAGGAGGACACCGAAGCUGGUGAAGAGGAACUCACCUGACCUGAUGGCUGGACAUCUGAACCCAACACCAUCCGGCAUCAAGUCUUGUGUUACUGUUUCUUCCUGUUCUGAACUUAGGGCCCGUGGGAUCUGACGUGUCUGUGGAGGACUGGAGGCAGCGUGCACGGUACAAGGUCCCUCACCGCUGAGUUGGUUCUGAGGACUGAGCUCAUGCGUAUACUCCAUCCCAUUCACCAGGAGUUCCAUCUUCAGACUGUAUUAGUCACUUUUCUGCUGCUGGGACAAAACACUGUGACCAAGACACCUUACAGGAGGAAGCGUUUAUUUGGGCUGGCAGCUGCAGAGGGAUGAGAAACUAUCACAAUGGUGAGGCAUGGCAGCAACCUCAGUGGUGGGUCAUAUCUUCAGCCGCACGCUUAAAGCAGAGAGAAUGAACUGGAUGUGGGGUCAGGCUGUGAACGCUCGCGCGAAGCCUCCAUGAAAGCUACACUACCCGUCCCAAACAGUGGCAUCAUCUGGGACCCAAGUACUCAACUCUCUGAGUGUAUGUGGAGUACUUCCCAUUUAAACCACCACGCUCCUCGGGACCCUCCCCAGCCGAAUGCCCCGUGUUCUCUCAUGCACUAGGAGGAGAUCCAGACACAGUUUGGAGGGCCAAGCUGGCGGGUGGACUAGCGUUCUCUAGGUCUGAGGGUGCCAGGGUCAGAUGGGGAGAUAAAAUGCAAUGGAAGGGGAGCAGGGCCUGGUCACAUUCCCUCGGCUGCCUACGGCUCGUUAAGUGCUUGAACAGAAAACAGAAGAUGGGAGGCAACAGUCUGUCUCAAACUGCUCAUCUACACCGCAGGCGCGCAGUUUGACAACCAUCCGUCACUCAAUCCACCAUGCACACGUCCAUACAACUAACACGUGUGAGUGGCAGAAUAAUGGCUCCCCAAAGAUGUCCUCGUCCCCAGAACCCAGGUUGUUGCUUAACAUGGCAAAAGGGGAUUAAGGUGGCCGAUGGAAUGUGGGCUGCUAAUUAUCUGGAGUCAAAAUAGGGAGAUUAUCUUGGAUUUUCCCAGUGGGCCUAAUGUAAUCACAGGGGUCUUGAGGAGGAGAAGAGGAUCUCAGAAGAGAGGUCCAGAGAGGUUGACGGUGUGAGAAGGACCUGGCCAACAUGUCUGAGUCUAAAGAUGAAGAAAUAGGACCAGAAGACAAGGAAAAUGGGAAGCCCAGAAAGGCAAGGAAAUGGUUACCCCUUGAGAGUCUGGACUGCAGCCCUGGCAGAGUUCAGCCCAUGGAGACACCAUUUUCAGAAUAAAUUUGCUUUGUUUCCAGCCCCUA
Non-coding RNA from Peromyscus maniculatus bairdii (prairie deer mouse), 1875 nucleotides. NCBI's taxonomy places the organism in Eukaryota, Metazoa, Chordata, Mammalia, Rodentia, Cricetidae. The record is from RefSeq and is a predicted model, not a curated record.